Molecule: ribosomal RNA, 484 nt
Filed under: uncultured bacterium
Lineage: Bacteria
Description: partial 16S ribosomal RNA
Rfam family: Bacterial small subunit ribosomal RNA
Source: RNAcentral
AGUGAACGCUGGCGGCGUGCUUAACACAUGCAAGUCGAACGAGAACGGAUUAUAGCUUGCUAUAAUUGUCAGCUAAGUGGCGCACGGGUGAGUAAUGUAUAGGUAAUAUGCCUCUUACUAAGGGAUAACAAAUGGAAACGUUUGCUAAUACCUUAUACUCCUUAUUAACAGAAGUUAAUAAGGGAAAGAUUUAUUGGUAAGAGAUUAGCCUGUAUUGUAUCAGUUAGUUGGUGGGGUAAUGGCUUACCAAGACUAUGACACAUAACUGGUUUGAGAGGAUGAUCGGUCACACUGGAACUGAGACACGGUCCAGACUCCUACGGGAGGCAGCAGUGGGGAAUAUUGCACAAUGGGCGAAAGUCUGAUGCAGCAACGCCGCGUGGAGGAUGACACAUUUCGGUGCGUAAACUCCUUUUAUAUGAGAAGAUAAUGAUGGUAUUAUAUGAAUAAGCACCGGCUAACUCCGUGCCAGCAGCCGCCGUAA